Molecule: long non-coding RNA, 480 nt
Organism: Tachyglossus aculeatus (Australian echidna)
Lineage: Eukaryota; Metazoa; Chordata; Mammalia; Monotremata; Tachyglossidae
Exons: 3
Source: RefSeq, a predicted model, not a curated record
CGUUUACAGCAUCUUGGUCCACAAUGAGAAUUUUAGAAAAAACAAACCCCCAAACUGACAAAUGCACGCAGCCACACGCAGAACAUUCACAAUGGCUGUGGGCUUGCCAGGGCAAACAUCACUUAAGAAUUCUAGCACUGUGUAUUAUUAGUACUAUCUUCCCAUUUUCCUGGAAAGAAGGGAUAUUUUUACUUCGAAAAAGGCAACCUUUCGGAGCUGGGAGGCUGUUAGCUUGUGAAAUUGGCUGGCUUUUCACUAGCAAAGGUACUCAUUGACCUACGAAGUUUGAUGAGUAACAUCUCUGAAAGGGCAUGGAGGUAUACUGGAUUAAAUCGCCCACAUUCUACUGAUGAUGAAUAGGAAAACUGGUUGUAUCAGGCAGCUGAAAUGGAUAAUUAAGGUGAAUUGAUUCUCUAGGGAUGCCAAGCAACCACCUUUCCUGAUCCCUGAAUUACCUCAGAAAAAAUAAAUGAUAAUGCA